CUUAAGCUUGAACUAUGUAGCUUCAUUAGCGACCUAGAUACUUGUUAAAUGCCCCUAUAAUAUGGUGGCUAAACCCGGUAAAUGGGUUAUUCAUGAUGUUGAUUUUGGUGGCAAUGUUUAUACUUGAUUGUUAUCUUAUUGUCAUUACUUUGAUAGCAAUGGAAAGUCUUGUAAAUUGAACCUAUGACUAUGCAAUCACUUAACCUAUUGGAUAGUCUACUAUGUGGG
Molecule: long non-coding RNA, 228 nt
Filed under: Capsicum annuum
Lineage: Eukaryota; Viridiplantae; Streptophyta; Magnoliopsida; Solanales; Solanaceae
Description: long non-coding RNA (CANN_LNC019108)
Source: RNAcentral